Dermochelys coriacea (leatherback sea turtle) is the source of this 654-nucleotide long non-coding RNA. RefSeq lists it as uncharacterized. The record is from RefSeq and is a predicted model, not a curated record. The transcript has 2 exons. Lineage: Eukaryota; Metazoa; Chordata; Testudines; Dermochelyidae.
AGAUACCUGCCUAAGUGGGGGAAACCCUGUGUCCUAGUGCACUCUCUCCGUCUGUGCAAUUGCUUGAGGUAAUAAAGUGUAUCUGAUUUACUGCACCCAACCUGAGAGUGAGACCUGUGUUUUUCUCCGACAAUUUGGGGGCUCGUCUGGGAUGGCAACACCCGCUGAGACAACAGCAGCUGCUGCAGACUGUUCCCCUUCGAACCCCAUGGUGCCACAAUAGAGGUGAAAGAAGCACUACCCAAAGAUCCUGAACAACCCUGCCACUCGGUAGAACCCAGUCUACCUAAAGGUCCAUCGGCGAAAGACUGCUCUGGCCCCACGCUGGAAAGGCCCUUAUUAAGUCCUGCUAACUACCAACACCGCUGUAAAGUGCCAAGGACUGACUGCCUGGACCCAUGCUUCUUACUGCAAAAAGACCCCUCCGCCUCAAGAUGACUUCACUUUGACUACCGAUCAGCCUGUCCCUCCUUCUGGGUUUUUUCUUUCCUCCUUUUGGACAGCAGGGGAAAGGACAAGGUGAAGUGUUAGUAACCUCUCCCUUGUAAACUGACAGAGCUAACCUGCAUUCAGCAUUUGCUAAAGAAACCAAAGCACUACAGGGUGACAUCUAGUAACCUCUCCCCUGUAUAAUGCAAAACCACGACUGUUCCA